Molecule: ribosomal RNA, 497 nt
Filed under: uncultured bacterium
Lineage: Bacteria
Description: partial 16S ribosomal RNA
Rfam family: Bacterial small subunit ribosomal RNA
Source: RNAcentral
GAUGAACGCUGGCGGCGUGCCUAAUACAUGCAAGUCGAGCGAACAGACGAGGAGCUUGCUCCUCUGACGUUAGCGGCGGACGGGUGAGUAACACGUGGAUAACCUCCCUAUAAGACUGGGAUAACUUCGGGAAACCGGAGCUAAUACCGGAUAAUAUAUUGAACCGCAUGGUUCAAUAGUGAAAGACGGUUUUGCUGUCACUUAUAGAUGGAUCCGCGCCGCAUUAGCUAGUUGGUAAGGUAACGGCUUACCAAGGCGACGAUGCGUAGCCGACCUGAGAGGGUGAUCGGCCACACUGGAACUGAGACACGGUCCAGACUCCUACGGGAGGCAGCAGUAGGGAAUCUUCCGCAAUGGGCGAAAGCCUGACGGAGCAACGCCGCGUGAGUUAUGAAGGUCUUCGGAUCGUAAAACUCUGUUAUUAGGGAAGAACAAAUGUGUAAGUAACUAUGCACGUCUUGACGGUACCUAAUCAGAAAGCCACGGCUAACUACGUG